Molecule: long non-coding RNA, 419 nt
Filed under: Bos taurus (domestic cattle)
Lineage: Eukaryota; Metazoa; Chordata; Mammalia; Artiodactyla; Bovidae
Description: long non-coding RNA NONBTAT014126
Source: RNAcentral
UCUCUGUCCAAGUGUUGCUCUGUGGAAUUGAAUGACCACUGGGACAAUUUUCUGUACCCGGAGAAAGCGUCCUCUAGAGCUUUGGCACAGUUACUCUGAUCUGGGCUUUUUCAAAGGGCCCAGGCUAUAGUUUAGGAGAUGGUGGUCAGGAAGCCCUCAUGAAACCUUGUCAGAAGAGCUGAAGUCCCCUGAGUCAGAAGGUCAAUGACAGUAACUUCCAAGGCUCGUCAAUGAGCCUUUUUGUCUUGCAGGUCAUCUUUCACUUUAUACCCAUAACUAACUCUGGCUCUUAUGGUCCCUGGUUACUGGUGUAAGGGCUGAAAUUUAUUUUGUCUCAUUCUGGGAAGACCCCUGUUGAUCUUGGGAAUGUCUGAAAAAAUACUGUGGUGUAACAGUAAUCUGAAUUUGUGUUGACACUA